This is a long non-coding RNA of Oncorhynchus tshawytscha (Chinook salmon), 2724 nucleotides long. The record is from Ensembl. NCBI's taxonomy places the organism in Eukaryota, Metazoa, Chordata, Actinopteri, Salmoniformes, Salmonidae.
GAGUCCAUCCUGCCCUGAUGACAGAGAUGGACAGUGGAUGUAGUUAGAGUCCAUCCUGUCCUGAUGACAGAGAUGGACAGUGGAUGUAGUUAGAGUCCAUCCUGCCCUGAUGACAGAGAUGGAUAGUGGAUGUAGUUAGAGUCCAUCCUGCCCUGAUGACAGAGAUGGACAGUGGAUGUAGUUAGGGACCAUGACAGAUAAGAAAGGAGUCCAUGACAAGGAGGAGGAAUAGUGACCUUCUGUGGCCUGGUUCUGGUUCUGGUACUGGUUCUGAAUAUGUAUUGUACCGUGUGCAUUUAGUCUGGGUUACAGCAAUAAAGAUGCACUUUAAAUUGAGUUCAAUAACUGUAUAAUCAAGUGUCCAAAAAUGUUAUGCACCGUAUGCAUUGCAUCUGAAAAUGUGUGAACGUAAUGGAAAAUAACAUGUCAAACCAAAUCAAAUUUGAUUUAUCACAUGUGCCGAAUACAACCUUACCGUGAAAUGCUUACUUACAAGCCCUAAACCAACCAUGCAGUUAAAAAAUAAAAUAAGAGUUAAGACAAAUAUUUACUGGAUAAACUAAUGUAAAAAAUAAAAGAACAACAAUAAAAUAACAAUAACGAGGCUAUAUACAGGGGGUACCGGUACCGAGUCAGUGUGCGGGGUAGAGGUUAGUAGAGGUAAUUGAGGUAAUAUGUACAUGUAGGUACAGUUGGGGUAAAGUGACUAUGCAUAGACAAUAAAAUAAUGAACAGCGAGUAGCAGCAGCGUAAAAAGGGGGGCGGGGGUUAAUGCAUAUAGUCUGGGUAGCCAUUUGAUUAGCUGUCCUACAGUCUUAUGGCUUGGUAGUAGAAGCUGUUAAGUAGCCUUUUGGACCUAGACUUGGGGCUCCGGUACCACUUGCCGUGCGGUAGUAGAGAGAUCCGUCUAUGACUGGGCUGGCUGGAGUCUUUUUGGGGUGGCUGGAGUCUUUUUAGGGCCCUCCUCUGACACCGCCUGGUAUAGAGGUCCUGGAUGGCAGGAAGCUUGGCCCCAGUGAUGUACUGGGCCAGUACGCACUACCCUCUGUAGCGCUUUGUGGUCGGAGGCCGAGCAGUUGCCAUACCAGGCACUGAUGCAACCAGUCAGGCUCUCGAUGGUGCAGCUGUAUAACUUUGAGGAUCUGAGGACCCAUGCCAAAUAAUUUCAGUCUUGUGAGAGGGAAUAGGCGUUGUCGUGCCCUCUUUACGACUGUCUUGGUGUGUUUGGACCAAAUCAAAUCAAAUCAAAUCAAAUUUUAUUUGUCACAUACACAUGGUUAGCAGAUGUUAAUGCGAGUGUAGCGAAAUGCUUGUGCUUCUAGUUCCGACCAACAUGAUAGUUUGUUGGUGAUGUGGACACCAAGGAACUUGAAGCUCUCAACCUGCUCCACUACAGCCCUGUCGAUGAGAAUGGGGGCGUGGUCAGCCCUCCUUUUCCUGUAAUCCACGAUCAUCUCCUUUGUCUUGAUCACGUUGAGGGAGAGGUUGUUGUCCUGGCACCACACUGCCAGGUCUGUGACCUCCUCCCUAUAGGCUGUCUCAUUGUUAUUGGUGAUCAGGCCUACCACAAUUGUGUUGUCUGCAAACUUAAUGAUGGUGUGGUGACUUAUGACUAUAAUACUAUCUCUGUCUUCUAUACUGAUAUGCACUGCACUAAGUUAUGUGUAUUUCUGCAAUAAGCUAUGUGCAUUACUGCACUAAUUCAUGUGUAUUAAUGCACUAAGUCAUAUACGUUUUACUGCACUAAGUCAUCUGUAUUGCUUCACUAAGUCACGUGUAUUGCUUCACUAAGUCAUGUGUAUUUCUUCACUAAGUCAUGUAUAUUACUUCACUAAGUCAUGUGUAUUACUGCACUGCUUCACUAAGUCAUGUGUAUUUCUUCACUAAGUCAUGUAUAUUACUUCACUAAGUCAUGUGUAGUACUGCACAAAGUCAUGUGUAUUAAUGCACUAAGUCAUGUGUGUUACUGCACUAAGUCAUGUGUAUUGCUUCACUAAGUCAUGUGUAUUUCUUCACUAAGUCAUGUGUAUUACUUCACUAAGUCAUGUGUAUUACUGCACAAAGUCAUGUGUAUUAAUGCACUAAGUCAUGUGUGUUACUGCACUAAGUCAUGUGUAUUGCUUCACUAAGUUAUAGGUAUUGCUUCACUAAGUCAUGUGUAUUACUGCACUAAGUCAUGUGUACUACUGCCAUAUACAGUAUAAAUAAAGUUUCUGAUAUGUUAUUCUGUAAUGCUGCCGUUAGACUCUAGUCUUUAUCCCAGUAGUUGUCAACAUUGAUAACUGGGGGUUAGGUUGGUUUGGAGAUUAUACAGACUGUCACAAAGGGGGGCGACGGGCCGCAUCCUCGUCCAUACCCUCUGAGACUGUGGCUGCAUGUGUCAUCCGUUGCAAAUGACCAUGGGGAGCACCUCAGACACACACACACACCACACACACGCGCAAAACAUGUUGCGGGAAGAGACCGCAGCAGGCGUGAUGACAUGUUAAAUUACCCCGGUGAUGUAUAGCUUAAUGAACCCCUUGUGUUGAUCAGGCUCCACAUUAAUCAACAGCCAUGAACAGAUUCCCUUGAUAAACUGCAAUUUCAUUUAACCUUGGACAGCAACUUUAAUAGCUUCCACAGGACAACUGUCAAUACUUUCCUGGGUGUACAGUGAUUAAAUUGCAGGGCGAGAAGUGGGUCCCAGCUUCCUCCUCAUACUCAUCCCUCUAUCCUCUCCCC